CCUACGGGGGGCAGCAGUGGGGAAUAUUGCACAAUGGGGGAAACCCUGAUGCAGCGACGCCGCGUGAGCGAUGAAGUAUUUCGGUAUGUAAAGCUCUAUCAGCAGGGAAGAAAAUGACGGUACCUGACUAAGAAGCCCCGGCUAACUACGUGCCAGCAGCCGCGGUAAUACGUAGGGGGCAAGCGUUAUCCGGAUUUACUGGGUGUAAAGGGUGCGCAGGCGGCACGGCAAGCCGGCGGUCAAAUCGCGGGGCUCAACCCCGCCCAGCCGUCGGAACUGCCGGGCUAGAGUGGGCGAGAAGUGCG
RNAcentral lists this ribosomal RNA (305 nucleotides) under uncultured bacterium. Its description in RNAcentral is "bacterial SSU rRNA". It matches the Rfam family "Bacterial small subunit ribosomal RNA", at positions 338 to 661 of the family's 1533-position model. The record is from RNAcentral.